This 77-nucleotide unclassified non-coding RNA is filed under the name Halpernia frigidisoli. Its description in RNAcentral is "Chryseobacterium frigidisoli Flavo-1 RNA". The record is from RNAcentral. Lineage: Bacteria; Pseudomonadati; Bacteroidota; Flavobacteriia; Flavobacteriales; Weeksellaceae.
CUGCAGCCCGACUUGAACGGAGCUCUUUUUGAGAAACGAAGUGGAGCAAAAAAGCGGGAGUGGAAGGCGGAUAAAGC